AACGAACGCUGGCGGCAGGCUUAACACAUGCAAGUCGAGCGGGCCCUUCGGGGUCAGUGGCAGACGGGUGAGUAACGCGUGGGAACGUGCCCUUCAGUUCGGGAUAACCCAGGGAAACUUGGGCUAAGACCGGAUACGUGCGAGAGCAGAAAGAUUUAUCGCUGAAGGAUCGGCCCGCGUCUGAUUAGCUGGUUGGUGGGGUAAUGGCCCACCAAGGCGACGAUCAGUAGCUGGUCUGAGAGGAUGAUCAGCCACAUUGGGACUGAGACACGGCCCAAACUCCUACGGGAGGCAGCAGUGGGGAAUAUUGGACAAUGGGCGCAAGCCUGAUCCAGCCAUGCCGCGUGAGUGAUGACGGCCUUAGGGUUGUAAAGCUCUUUCACGCGACGAUAAUGACGGUAGCGUGAGAAGAAGCCCCGGCUAACUUCGUGCCAGCCGCCGCCGUAA
Molecule: ribosomal RNA, 447 nt
Filed under: uncultured bacterium
Lineage: Bacteria
Description: partial 16S ribosomal RNA
Rfam family: Bacterial small subunit ribosomal RNA
Source: RNAcentral